This 56-nucleotide transfer RNA is filed under the name Mactra sp. WB-F. Its description in RNAcentral is "tRNA-Leu". The record is from RNAcentral. Lineage: Eukaryota; Metazoa; Mollusca; Bivalvia; Venerida; Mactridae.
GAGGGAGAUGAAUAAGUACGACUUUUAGGAAGUUGUGAUUAUUUAUUACUCCUUUU